Molecule: long non-coding RNA, 504 nt
Organism: Lycium ferocissimum
Lineage: Eukaryota; Viridiplantae; Streptophyta; Magnoliopsida; Solanales; Solanaceae
Exons: 2
Source: RefSeq, a predicted model, not a curated record
UUUCCUUUUGAAGGUGAUGGAGAUAUCCAAUAAUAAUGGGUACAAAAAUCCCGCAACAGCAGCAGUAGCAUUUGAAUCAGAAAAUGGAUUUAAUAAUGAGGAAGGUCAAUCAUCUGAAUCUGUCACAAAUGCAUGUAACUCUACUGGCCCUCCUCCUCAAGAUGAUGACAGUUCUGAUACUUCUCUCAAGUUGGGGCUACCCUAUACAGGCUGAAGGGAAGAGCAAAACCAAGCUUCUUAAAGCACGGUGUAGCUAUUUUUGUAUGUUAUGGGAGAAAAAAAAAGGUACUACGUACUGACUACUAAUAUGUUGCAAUGUAAAAGCUAACCCCAAGAAUUUCAUGUUAAGUAUGUAAUUGGUGUCAUCCCAUGUAUUCGUCUCUUUUAUUUAAUGGUAUGUAUCUAGUAGUAGCUUAAUUUGCCAUAAAAAUAUUUUGAUUCAACUUGGCAGCUUGUAAUUAUACACGGGCUUAAUUAUUCUCAGCUUGUUUGUUGUCGCCUUCA